This 660-nucleotide unclassified non-coding RNA is filed under the name Hevea brasiliensis (rubber tree). The record is from RNAcentral. Lineage: Eukaryota; Viridiplantae; Streptophyta; Magnoliopsida; Malpighiales; Euphorbiaceae.
GAUCUGAUUAUUCUUCAGUAUCACUUUGUGAUUUAGGAGCCCAGAACUUUGAUUGGAGAAUGCUUGAAUCGGAAGAGAGAGAAGGAAUCGUGGCGUUGUUAAAGUCCCGGAAACACAAGUCACUGAAGUGUCCGUCAUUACAAGCUGUUAGUAUACGACUUCCAUUGACAGCCAUUGCAGAACACCGAUAGCCUUGACGAGAAUCAGAUAGAGAGCAGCAAUUCAAUGAAGUUAAUUGUCUACCGUUCCCCGUCUCCCAAACAUGUACCUGGAAAUCCUUCAGCCCACCACUAACAAUCUUGUAGGGAUCCAUGUGCAAGAGGCUUACAUUGCCUCUAUGUCCAUCUAAUUCAGCUACUGCUUCUCCCUUGUGUAUGUCACACCCUCUUCUCACAUCCCAAAGCAUUGCUCUUUGAGCUAACCCUGUGCACAUCAAUGAUUUCUCUGGCAACAUUUGAAAUGAAUGUACUUCUUCUUGAUGGUUCACUUUGAAAACUUGACGCAUUGUUCUUAUAUCAAUUGCAACAACAGAGGUACCAGCCGCAAUAUAGAUCAGUGAUUCAUGACACUUCAUUGCUUUAGGUGCACCAGGCACAGUGCUCUUUCCCACACAGCAUGAAGAACGAUUAGAUGAAGUAGCAGUGUCCCAAACUAUCACCU